UGGCAUGAGGCAUGAGCCUGCCUUGUCGACGGUGCCUCCAGUUCUUCCUCGGCUACCUGCCGACAUUAUUGAAGAAUUAGAGGCAGCAGUGCGGGAUGAGGCUGUGGCUGCCACCUUGAUGUCAUCUGUGCGAAAGGGGGGGGGGGCAAUCAGACAGAAGCACAGGACUUCAUUAAGGGGUGGUUGCCAGGGUCUGUGGACAGGAGUGGUGGCAGGAAGAGGCGUUUCGCAGACACGUUUUCAGCAGAGCAGCCCGAAGAUCUCUCCCUUCGGGGCAGGCAAUCAUUGCCGGCCCACUGCUGCCCUCUCCCUGCCCCACCCUAGCCCUCAGGUCCCUGGCCAUUCCGCCGUCGGCCCCUCCUGUCCGGCUGCUGCUGCCCCUGCUCCUGCAGUCCCUGCCGCCCCGGCCCCUCCUCCUGCUGCUGCCCCUGGAGCUGAGCACCCCUACUGAUGCCGGCAUCAGUUCAAGAAUUGUAUUGUAAAUAGUAUUCUAAAUAAAUUAUAUUUUCGUUUA
This is a long non-coding RNA of Dermacentor silvarum, 514 nucleotides long. RefSeq lists it as uncharacterized. The transcript has 2 exons. The record is from RefSeq and is a predicted model, not a curated record. NCBI's taxonomy places the organism in Eukaryota, Metazoa, Arthropoda, Arachnida, Ixodida, Ixodidae.